UACGUAGGGUCCGAGCGUUGUCCGGAAUUACUGGGCGUAAAGCGCGCGCAGGCGGCCCGCGAGGUGUCACGUGAAAGCCCCGGGCUCAACCCGGGAGGGUCGUGGCAAACCGGCGGGCUUGAGGCCGGUAGAGGUGGGUGGAACUCCCGGUGUAGCGGUGAAAUGCGCAGAUAUCGGGAAGAACACCCGUGGCGAAGGCGGCUCUCUGGGACGGUACUGACGCUGAGACGCGAAAGCGUGGGGAGCGAACAGG
Molecule: ribosomal RNA, 253 nt
Filed under: uncultured bacterium
Lineage: Bacteria
Description: partial 16S ribosomal RNA
Rfam family: Bacterial small subunit ribosomal RNA
Source: RNAcentral